CGGGACACGUGGUAUCCUGUCUGAAUAUGGGGGGACCAUCCUCCAAGGCUAAAUACUCCUGACUGACCGAUAGUGAACCAGUACCGUGAGGGAAAGGCGAAAAGAACCCCGGCGAGGGGAGUGAAAAAGAACCUGAAACCGUGUACGUACAAGCAGUGGGAGCCUCUUAAUGGGGUGACUGCGUACCUUUUGUAUAAUGGGUCAGCGACUUAUAUUCUGUAGCAAGGUUAACCGAAUAGGGGAGCCGAAGGGAAACCGAGUCUUAACUGGGCGUUAAGUUGCAGGGUAUAGACCCGAAACCCGGUGAUCUAGCCAUGGGCAGGUUGAAGGUUGGGUAACACUAACUGGAGGACCGAACCGACUAAUGUUGAAAAAUUAGCGGAUGACUUGUGGCUGGGGGUGAAAGGCCAAUCAAACCGGGAGAUAGCUGGUUCUCCCCGAAAGCUAUUUAGGUAGCGCCUCGUGAAUUCAUCUCCGGGGGUAGAGCACUGUUUCGGCAAGGGGGUCAUCCCGACUUACCAACCCGAUGCAAACUGCGAAUACCGGAGAAUGUUAUCACGGGAGACACACGGCGGGUGCUAACGUCCGUCGUGAAGAGGGAAACAACCCAGACCGCCAGCUAAGGUCCCAAAGUCAUGGUUAAGUGGGAAACGAUGUGGGAAGGCCCAGACAGCCAGGAUGUUGGCUUAGAAGCAGCCAUCAUUUAAAGAAAGCGUAAUAGCUCACUGGUCGAGUCGGCCUGCGCGGAAGAUGUAACGGGGCUAAACCAUGCACCGAAGCUGCGGCAGCGACGUUUAUGCGUUGUUGGGUAGGGGAGCGUUCUGUAAGCCUGCGAAGGUGUACUGUGAGGUAUGCUGGAGGUAUCAGAAGUGCGAAUGCUGACAUAAGUAACGAUAAAGCGGGUGAAAAGCCCGCUCGCCGGAAGACCAAGGGUUCCUGUCCAACGUUAAUCGGGGCAGGGUGAGU
Molecule: ribosomal RNA, 966 nt
Filed under: Escherichia coli
Lineage: Bacteria; Pseudomonadati; Pseudomonadota; Gammaproteobacteria; Enterobacterales; Enterobacteriaceae
Description: partial 23S ribosomal RNA
Rfam family: Bacterial large subunit ribosomal RNA
Source: RNAcentral